This 1550-nucleotide ribosomal RNA is filed under the name Klebsiella pneumoniae. RNAcentral describes it as "bacterial SSU rRNA". It matches the Rfam family "Bacterial small subunit ribosomal RNA". Lineage: Bacteria; Pseudomonadati; Pseudomonadota; Gammaproteobacteria; Enterobacterales; Enterobacteriaceae. The record is from RNAcentral. RNAcentral also lists the same sequence under 1 other name.
AAAUUGAAGAGUUUGAUCAUGGCUCAGAUUGAACGCUGGCGGCAGGCCUAACACAUGCAAGUCGAGCGGUAGCACAGAGAGCUUGCUCUCGGGUGACGAGCGGCGGACGGGUGAGUAAUGUCUGGGAAACUGCCUGAUGGAGGGGGAUAACUACUGGAAACGGUAGCUAAUACCGCAUAACGUCGCAAGACCAAAGUGGGGGACCUUCGGGCCUCAUGCCAUCAGAUGUGCCCAGAUGGGAUUAGCUAGUAGGUGGGGUAACGGCUCACCUAGGCGACGAUCCCUAGCUGGUCUGAGAGGAUGACCAGCCACACUGGAACUGAGACACGGUCCAGACUCCUACGGGAGGCAGCAGUGGGGAAUAUUGCACAAUGGGCGCAAGCCUGAUGCAGCCAUGCCGCGUGUGUGAAGAAGGCCUUCGGGUUGUAAAGCACUUUCAGCGGGGAGGAAGGCGGUGAGGUUAAUAACCUCACCGAUUGACGUUACCCGCAGAAGAAGCACCGGCUAACUCCGUGCCAGCAGCCGCGGUAAUACGGAGGGUGCAAGCGUUAAUCGGAAUUACUGGGCGUAAAGCGCACGCAGGCGGUCUGUCAAGUCGGAUGUGAAAUCCCCGGGCUCAACCUGGGAACUGCAUUCGAAACUGGCAGGCUAGAGUCUUGUAGAGGGGGGUAGAAUUCCAGGUGUAGCGGUGAAAUGCGUAGAGAUCUGGAGGAAUACCGGUGGCGAAGGCGGCCCCCUGGACAAAGACUGACGCUCAGGUGCGAAAGCGUGGGGAGCAAACAGGAUUAGAUACCCUGGUAGUCCACGCCGUAAACGAUGUCGAUUUGGAGGUUGUGCCCUUGAGGCGUGGCUUCCGGAGCUAACGCGUUAAAUCGACCGCCUGGGGAGUACGGCCGCAAGGUUAAAACUCAAAUGAAUUGACGGGGGCCCGCACAAGCGGUGGAGCAUGUGGUUUAAUUCGAUGCAACGCGAAGAACCUUACCUGGUCUUGACAUCCACAGAACUUUCCAGAGAUGGAUUGGUGCCUUCGGGAACUGUGAGACAGGUGCUGCAUGGCUGUCGUCAGCUCGUGUUGUGAAAUGUUGGGUUAAGUCCCGCAACGAGCGCAACCCUUAUCCUUUGUUGCCAGCGGUUCGGCCGGGAACUCAAAGGAGACUGCCAGUGAUAAACUGGAGGAAGGUGGGGAUGACGUCAAGUCAUCAUGGCCCUUACGACCAGGGCUACACACGUGCUACAAUGGCAUAUACAAAGAGAAGCGACCUCGCGAGAGCAAGCGGACCUCAUAAAGUAUGUCGUAGUCCGGAUUGGAGUCUGCAACUCGACUCCAUGAAGUCGGAAUCGCUAGUAAUCGUAGAUCAGAAUGCUACGGUGAAUACGUUCCCGGGCCUUGUACACACCGCCCGUCACACCAUGGGAGUGGGUUGCAAAAGAAGUAGGUAGCUUAACCUUCGGGAGGGCGCUUACCACUUUGUGAUUCAUGACUGGGGUGAAGUCGUAACAAGGUAACCGUAGGGGAACCUGCGGUUGGAUCACCUCCUUACCUUAAAGAA